RNAcentral lists this small RNA (28 nucleotides) under Bombyx mori (domestic silkworm). Its description in RNAcentral is "ovarian small RNA-31463". Lineage: Eukaryota; Metazoa; Arthropoda; Insecta; Lepidoptera; Bombycidae. The record is from RNAcentral.
UGACAUGGUUAUGCAACAAUAUUUCAGC